Cynoglossus semilaevis (tongue sole) is the source of this 797-nucleotide long non-coding RNA. RefSeq lists it as uncharacterized. The transcript is spliced from 3 exons. NCBI's taxonomy places the organism in Eukaryota, Metazoa, Chordata, Actinopteri, Pleuronectiformes, Cynoglossidae. The record is from RefSeq and is a predicted model, not a curated record.
ACGAAAUGGGCAAAAAAAAAAGCCCCAAAAUGGUCACGGUAUGUGACGUCACAUGCCAAAAAAACGUGCCACGUGCUUUAAAAGCCACAGGUGUACGGCGUUAUUCCAAAUGGAGACUGAGACGGAGACGGAGACGGAAGGAUUCACCGUGAUUUCUGCACACGGAGACCAGGUCGGAGUUGUCGGGCAUCGAAGUGAGAGAAGAUUGAUCAACACGAAGAUCUUCAACAUAGUAAGGAACGUCGUUUUUCUUAUUUUCCUGUGCGACCGCCGUGUCGCUGUUGUGCUAGGCCGCUGAAGCCUAUGUCUGCUUGAGUGUGUGAUUGAGUCUCUGUGUGAGUGAAACGUAGUAGUAGUAGUAGUAGUAGCAGCAGCAGCAGCAGCAGCAAAUGUCUUACAGUCUUUUUUGUCUUGUUGGUUUCCUCUCUGUUUUUUCAGAAUCUUUAGUUUAGAGGCAGUGGAGUCUGGGUUUUGGAGCAGGAGCCAUUAGCAGGAGGAUGGUUAGCCAGUCAGUGAAGUCUUACAGGUAGGUGGCUCUCUGCUCGAGUUUGUUGAAACUCUGGUCCCUAUUUAAUGGUGUGGAUGUGAAACUGCUGAGCUAACUAGUUAAAUGUUGCCUCUGCUUUCUGACCAUGGUGGUUCAGUGUUUGUAGUUAAUAGAAUGAGUGAUGUGGUUUAAGCUCAGCAGUUUCUAGUAAGUACGGGUGAAUGACAUUCUGUCUCAAUACAUGUGAGUAACACAUUUUGCCUUGUAGGGCCUGUCGACAAAGGGUGAGUCCAAAACUUCUGUUUAAUUC